RNAcentral lists this long non-coding RNA (418 nucleotides) under Pan troglodytes (chimpanzee). Its description in RNAcentral is "long non-coding RNA NONPTRT003991". The record is from RNAcentral. Lineage: Eukaryota; Metazoa; Chordata; Mammalia; Primates; Hominidae.
UUUUUUUUUACCAGGGACUGAAGAAACCUUAUAAUCCUAUACUUGGUGAGACUUUCCGUUGUUUAUGGAUUCAUCCCAGAACAAACAGCAAAACUUUUUAUAUUGCUGAACAGGUGUCCCAUCAUCCACCAAUAUCUGCCUUUUAUGUUAGUAAUCGAAAAGAUGGAUUUUGCCUUAGCGGUAGUAUCCUGGCUAAGUCUAAGUUUUAUGGAAACUCAUUAUCUGCAAUAUUAGAGGGAGAAGCACGGUUAACUUUCUUGAAUAGAGGUGAAGAUUAUGUAAUGACAAUGCCAUACGCUCAUUGUAAAGGAAUUCUUUAUGGUACAAUGACAUUGGAGCUUGGUGGAACAGUCAAUAUUACAUGUCAAAAAACUGGAUACAGUGCAAUACUUGAAUUUAAACUAAAGGUUAGUAGACA